UACGAAGGGGGCUAGCGUUGCUCGGAAUCACUGGGCGUAAAGGGUGCGUAGGCGGGUCUUUAAGUCAGGGGUGAAAUCCUGGAGCUCAACUCCAGAACUGCCUUUGAUACUGAAGAUCUUGAGUCCGGGAGAGGUGAGUGGAACUGCGAGUGUAGAGGUGAAAUUCGUAGAUAUUCGCAAGAACACCAGUGGCGAAGGCGGCUCACUGGCCCGGUACUGACGCUGAGGAGCGAAAGUGUGGGGAGCGAACAGG
RNAcentral lists this ribosomal RNA (253 nucleotides) under uncultured bacterium. Its description in RNAcentral is "partial 16S ribosomal RNA". It matches the Rfam family "Bacterial small subunit ribosomal RNA", at positions 524 to 776 of the family's 1533-position model. The record is from RNAcentral.